GCUAUCACUUACAGAUGGACCCGCGGCGCAUUAGCUAGUUGGUGAGGUAACGGCUCACCAAGGCAACGAUGCGUAGCCGACCUGAGAGGGUGAUCGGCCACACUGGGACUGAGACACGGCCCAGACUCCUACGGGAGGCAGCAGUAGGGAAUCUUCCGCAAUGGACGAAAGUCUGACGGAGCAACGCCGCGUGAGUGAUGAAGGUUUUCGGAUCGUAAAACUCUGUUGUUAGGGAAGAACAAGUACCGUUCGAAUAGGGCGGUACCUGAC
RNAcentral lists this ribosomal RNA (270 nucleotides) under Bacillus sp. CCMM B580. RNAcentral describes it as "partial 16S ribosomal RNA". It matches the Rfam family "Bacterial small subunit ribosomal RNA", at positions 211 to 483 of the family's 1533-position model. Lineage: Bacteria; Bacillati; Bacillota; Bacilli; Caryophanales; Bacillaceae. The record is from RNAcentral.